CAUGAGAUAAAAUAAUAGUGGCUAGCUAAUGUUACAGAGAGGGAAGGAAUGAAAAUACUUGAAAAAGACUAUUGAUAAGAAUGUCCUUGCUGCCCCUGGGAAGAACUGUCUCAAACCUCAAAUUACUUUGAGUUGAGAUUUAAGCUAAUGGUGAGGAAAUGGAAACAAAAAUGUUGGACAGUUUGUCAAGGUACUUAAUGGAAAAGGGCACUAAAUAAAUAGAAAUCGGCGCCUACAAAAGAAAGCAGUUGAUGAGCAGGACCCUGUGACUUAACUCCAACUCAGUGGGACAGAGUUCACAGAGCAAGCCAAGAAGCUCUGCCCUCUCUCCAUACUUUGGUGUUGAUGGAGUUCUUUGAUGCUGCCUGAGGAAUACCUAUUCCCUGGAAGUCAGCAUCUCAUCAGAACUCAAAGGUGUCCUUAUAAGAGACAGAAAAGGAAAAGACACAGAGAGAUGCAGAGAAGGAGGCCACCUGAAGACCAAGGCAGAGACUGGACUGAUGUGUCCACACACCAGAAACAUCAACCAGAAGCUGAGAGAGACCUGGAAGAGAUCUUUCUCCUGUCCUCCAGAAGAAAUUAGUGUUGGCACCUUCACUUUGGGCAUCUC
Prionailurus viverrinus (fishing cat) is the source of this 610-nucleotide long non-coding RNA. RefSeq lists it as uncharacterized. The transcript is spliced from 3 exons. NCBI's taxonomy places the organism in Eukaryota, Metazoa, Chordata, Mammalia, Carnivora, Felidae. The record is from RefSeq and is a predicted model, not a curated record.